CGCUAGCUACAGGCUUAACACAUGCAAGUCGAGGGGCAGCACAGUGUAGCAAUACACGGGUGGCGACCGGCGCACGGGUGCGUAACGCGUAUCCAACCUUCCCGUUACUCUUGGAUAGCCUUCCGAAAGGGAGAUUAAUACCUGAUGGUGUUUGAAUUCCGCAUGUUAUUCAAACUAAAGAUUUAUCGGUAACGGAUGGGGAUGCGUGACAUUAGGUAGAUGGCGGGGUAACGGCCCACCAUGCCUACGAUGUCUAGGGGUUCUGAGAGGAAGGUCCCCCACACUGGAACUGAGACACGGUCCAGACUCCUACGGGAGGCAGCAGCGAGGAAUAUUGGUCAAUGGUCGGAAGACUGAACCAGCCAAGUAGCGUGAAGGAUGAAGGUUCUAUGGAUUGUAAACUUCUUUUAUACGGGAAUAAAACCUCCCACGUGUGGGAGCUUGUAUGUACCGUAUGAAUAAGCAUCGGCUAACUCCGUGCCAGCAGCCGCAGUAAUACGGAGGAUGCGAGCGUUAUCCGGAUUUAUUGGGUUUAAAGGGAGCGUAGACGGGAGAUUAAGUCAGUUGUGAAAGGCUGCGGCUCAACCGCAGCACUGCAGUUGAUACUGGUUUCCUUGAGUGCGGUUGAGGUGUAAGGAAUUCGUGGUGUAGCGGUGAAAUGCUUAGAUAUCUCAAAGGACUCCGAUUG
This 688-nucleotide ribosomal RNA is filed under the name uncultured Bacteroidales bacterium. RNAcentral describes it as "bacterial SSU rRNA". It matches the Rfam family "Bacterial small subunit ribosomal RNA", at positions 34 to 715 of the family's 1533-position model. The record is from RNAcentral. Lineage: Bacteria; Pseudomonadati; Bacteroidota; Bacteroidia; Bacteroidales.